RNAcentral lists this ribosomal RNA (486 nucleotides) under uncultured bacterium. RNAcentral describes it as "bacterial SSU rRNA". It matches the Rfam family "Bacterial small subunit ribosomal RNA", at positions 56 to 507 of the family's 1533-position model. The record is from RNAcentral.
UGCAAGUCGAACGAACUCUGGUAUUGAUUGGUGCUUGCAUCAUGAUUUACAUUUGAGUGAGUGGCGAACUGGUGAGUAACACGUGGGAAACCUGCCCAGAAGCGGGGGAUAACACCUGGAAACAGAUGCUAAUACCGCAUAACAACUUGGACCGCAUGGUCCGAGCUUGAAAGAUGGCUUCGGCUAUCACUUUUGGAUGGUCCCGCGGCGUAUUAGCUAGAUGGUGGGGUAACGGCUCACCAUGGCAAUGAUACGUAGCCGACCUGAGAGGGUAAUCGGCCACAUUGGGACUGAGACACGGCCCAAACUCCUACGGGAGGCAGCAGUAGGGAAUCUUCCACAAUGGACGAAAGUCUGAUGGAGCAACGCCGCGUGAGUGAAGAAGGGUUUCGGCUCGUAAAACUCUGUUGUUAAAGAAGAACAUAUCUGAGAGUAACUGUUCAGGUAUUGACGGUAUUUAACCAGAAAGCCACGGCUAACUACGUG